Molecule: ribosomal RNA, 478 nt
Filed under: uncultured bacterium
Lineage: Bacteria
Description: partial 16S ribosomal RNA
Rfam family: Bacterial small subunit ribosomal RNA
Source: RNAcentral
GAUGAACGCUGGCGGCGUGCUUAACACAUGCAAGUCGAACGGGAAACCUUUUAUUGAAGCUUCGGCAGAUUUAGCUGGUUUCUAGUGGCGGACGGGUGAGUAACGCGUGGGUAACCUGCCCUAUACAGGGGGAUAACAACCAGAAAUGGUUGCUAAUACCGCAUCAUCGCACAGGGCCGCAUGGUCCGGUGUGAAAAACUCCGGUGGUAUAGGAUGGACCCGCGUUGGAUUAGCCAGUUGGCAGGGUAACGGCCUACCAAAGCGACGAUCCAUAGCCGGCCUGAGAGGGUGAACGGCCACAUUGGGACUGAGACACGGCCCAGACUCCUACGGGAGGCAGCAGUGGGGAAUAUUGCACAAUGGGGGAAACCCUGAUGCAGCGACGCCGCGUGAAGGAAGAAGUAUCUCGGUAUGUAAACUUCUAUCAGCAGGGAAGAUAGUGACGGUACCUGACUAAGAAGCCCCGGCUAACUACGUG